RNAcentral lists this transfer-messenger RNA (396 nucleotides) under chicken gut metagenome. It matches the Rfam family "transfer-messenger RNA". Rfam says of the family: Bacterial tmRNA, also known as 10Sa RNA or SsrA, is named for its dual tRNA and mRNA-like properties. Its role is to liberate the mRNA from a stalled ribosome. To accomplish this part of the tmRNA is used as a reading frame that ends in a translation stop signal. The record is from RNAcentral.
GGGGACGUUUUGGAUUUGACAGGAUGCCAGAUUGAAACAGGCUGCGAGUCCGAGCGCUGUUCUCGGUUAUCAACGAGCAAACUAAAUUAAAUGCUAACAAUGUAAUUAAAGUAGACUUCAGCCCAAGAGCAUAUGCAUUGGCUGCGUAGUCGCUAAUUAGCUACUCAUAUAGCCCAGCUUGCCGGCGAUAUGGGUCCAUUAUGCAAGCCGCAGUACCGCGAUGACGGUAGCGGUAUCAAGAUAACCGUCAAGGGUUUAGAGUUUCCCUCAAAUAAAACCUAGGGCUGAUUUAAGGGUAAUGAUACUUUCCCGAAUCAGUUGAGAAAAUAAGUAUCUACACUCGUAGAAGCUUGUUUAGAUCCAUUUUGGACAGGGGUUCGACUCCCCUCGUCUCCA